CCCGCUGUAGCCCAGUUGAUAGUGGCGUCGGCAGUGCAGAUGCAAAAUGUCGCAGGUACGAAUCCUGCCAGCGGUG
Phthorimaea operculella (potato tuberworm) is the source of this 76-nucleotide non-coding RNA. The record is from the annotation of a GenBank genome assembly. NCBI's taxonomy places the organism in Eukaryota, Metazoa, Arthropoda, Insecta, Lepidoptera, Gelechiidae.